AGAUGAGGGGGAAUCAGAAGCACAACACCCACGGUGCACGAUGUCCGAAGGAGAAGAAGAGGAGAGGAAAAAGGAGGCCGCGCCGGCGCGUUGGGCUUCAUCACUGCCAUCGCGUCGCCGUCACCGGCCCUACGAGUGGCCAUCCGCACUGCUGCCGCCGUUCUGCGACGAGAGGAUGUUCGCAGAGGGUAGCGUCGGAGAGAGGGAGAGGCUGAGCGUGGGGCUUUCGCCGUCCUCCUCGUCGCGGACUAGCUCGCCGCCGCCGCUGUGAUGCUCACGCCGUCGUCCUCCUCACCGCGAAGUCUGAGUCCUCGCCAUCCAUGGAGGGCCGAAGAGAGAAGCUCGAGCAGAAGAGAGAGAGAGAACGUCAGAAAAGGGGGUCCCUAUUCUGCGGCCGUGCCUCCGCCGUCGCGGGUCCUCCGCUGCCCUUCCACCAUCGCCGAAGUCCUCCAUCACCGUGGCUUGCUGUUCGAAGCUGCUGCCUCUCCACUACUGGAGGUCUGCCCCGAUCCGGUUUGAAGGAGAGGACGCCAUUGAGUGGGGGAAACGCCUCUGUCACGCUCCUCGGUCACUGGUGGUGGAGCCGCGUCGCCGUCACCCCUGGGUUGCUGUUCUUACCACCGCUGCUAAAACCACCACCGAGGCUUUUGCCGUUUCUGCUGCCGGAGAAUGCAGCUUAGCCACCGGAAAACCACUGCCGGUAAGGGUCCUUGCAUUUGGUCUUCAUUCCUUUCUAUUCAUGGGUCUUUAUCGUCAUGACGUUGUUGUGCAGUCGCGGUUGUCGGAGUCUUAUAUUGCCGCUGCCGCUUGAGGCGGCUGACGCAGCCGCUACCAGGUUGAUAUGGAGCUGCGGCUAUUUUGUUAAUUCAGAGUUAGAAUCCGGUUUGCUUAUGCCGCUUGUAGCUGUUUCUGAUUUUGUAACAAGUAGAGCCGAGGUUUUGGUUGCCGGUGAUUUUGAGUUGAGGCGGAAACGGGCUUGAUGAGGCGUUUGGAUUAUGGAAUUGCGUUUUGAGGAUGUGGGCGCAGAAGUUACGAAGAGCUUAUUUAAUUGUUGUUGUGAUG
Arachis ipaensis is the source of this 1062-nucleotide non-coding RNA. The record is from RefSeq and is a predicted model, not a curated record. NCBI's taxonomy places the organism in Eukaryota, Viridiplantae, Streptophyta, Magnoliopsida, Fabales, Fabaceae.